RNAcentral lists this ribosomal RNA (416 nucleotides) under uncultured bacterium. RNAcentral describes it as "bacterial SSU rRNA". It matches the Rfam family "Bacterial small subunit ribosomal RNA", at positions 110 to 518 of the family's 1533-position model. The record is from RNAcentral.
GUAACGCGUAGUCCAACCUUCCCUGUACUAGGGGAUAGCCCAGCGAAAGUCGGAUUAAUACCCUAGUGUUUUCCGAAGCGAGCAUUUAAUUUGGAACAAAGGUUUACCGGUAUAGGAUGGGGAUGCGUCUGAUUAGAUAGGUAGGCGGGGUAACGGCCCACCUAGUCGACGAUCAGUAGGGGUUCUGAGAGGAAGGUCCCCCACAUUGGAACUGAGACACGGUCCAAACUCCUACGGGAGGCAGCAGUGAGGAAUAUUGGGUCAAUGGACGAGGAGUCUGAACCAGCCAAGUAGCGUGCAGGAUGACGGCCCUAUGGGUUGUAAACUGCUUUUAUAUAGGGAUAAAGUGGAGGGACGUGUCCCUUACUGUAGGUACUAUAUGAAUAAGGACCGGCUAAUUCCGUGCCAGCCGCAGC